Molecule: ribosomal RNA, 492 nt
Filed under: uncultured bacterium
Lineage: Bacteria
Description: partial 16S ribosomal RNA
Rfam family: Bacterial small subunit ribosomal RNA
Source: RNAcentral
GAUGAACGCUAGCUACAGGCUUAACACAUGCAAGUCGAGGGGAAACGGCAUUACGUGCUUGCACUUUUUGGACGUCGACCGGCGCACGGGUGAGUAACGCGUAUCCAACCUUCCCAUGACUAAGGGAUAACCUGCCGAAAGGCAGACUAAUACCUUAUGGUCUUCACUGACGGCAUCAGAUGUGAAGUAAAGAUUUAUCGGUUAUGGAUGGGGAUGCGUCUGAUUAGCUUGUUGGCGGGGUAACGGCCCACCAAGGCAACGAUCAGUAGGGGUUCUGAGAGGAAGGUCCCCCAAAUUGGAACUGAGACACGGUCCAAACUCCUACGGGAGGCAGCAGUGAGGAAUAUUGGUCAAUGGGCGAGAGCCUGAACCAGCCAAGUAGCGUGCAGGAUGACGGCCCUAUGGGUUGUAAACUGCUUUUGUAUGGGGAUAAAGUCAAUCACGUGUGAUUGUUUGCAGGUACCAUACGAAUAAGGACCGGCUAAUUCCGUG